CCUACGGGUGGCAGCAGUAGGGAAUAUUGCUCAAUGGGGGAAACCCUGACGCAGCAACGCCGCGUGGAGGAUGAAGGUUUUCGGAUUGUAAACUCCUUUUGUUAGAGAAGAUAAUGACGGUAUCUAACGAAUAAGCACCGGCUAACUCCGUGCCAGCAGCCGCGGUAAUACGGAGGGUGCAAGCGUUACUCGGAAUCACUGGGCGUAAAGAGCGCGUAGGCGGGAUAGCAAGUCAGAUGUGAAAACCUAUGGCUUAACCAUAGAACUGCAUUUGAAACUGUUAUUCUAGAGUAUGGGAGAGGUAGGUGGAAUUCUUGGUGUAGCGGUAAAAUGCGUAGAGAUCAAGAGGAAUACUCAUGGCGAAGGCGACCUGCUAGAACAUAACUGACGCUGAUGCGCGAAAGCGUGGGGAGCAAACAGGAUUAGAUACCCCUGUAGUC
This 440-nucleotide ribosomal RNA is filed under the name uncultured bacterium. RNAcentral's name for it is "partial 16S ribosomal RNA". It matches the Rfam family "Bacterial small subunit ribosomal RNA", at positions 338 to 795 of the family's 1533-position model. The record is from RNAcentral.